CAAGUACAGUGUAAUAGUAUUAUUGUUAUUAAUAGAAUGGAAACAACAAGGGGAGAGAGAUGGAACCAAAAGGGGAAAGAAAACACCAACAGCGAGCAGUGAUGCCCAAUACAAUUGCUGAGCACCCGCUGCGAGGCACGCAGCCCGACCCAAGCAGCGACCCGUCCCUUCUCAGUGACUCCCCCAGUUUCUAUGGCCUGAGGUGUCAUGGGCCGACCAGGCUGAAAAGCAUCUAUAUUAGAAGUGUAUAAUUUAUAAUAGUAAUAUAUAUAUUGCAUAAUCAUAUCUAUUAUUAUAAUACAUAAUAAUUUUAAUUAUAUAUAACUUAUUAUAAAAAUAAGUGAGCGUUAGAGUUAGGGUCAGGAACAGGGGUUUCACUCAGGGAUGGGGUUUCAGAUUUAGGGUUAGGGAUUGAUUUAGGCCACAGCAUCAUGGCAGGGAGGGGACAAGGACAUGAGGAGUAUGGGGGAUACCAGUGGUAUUUUGGGGGCUCUGGGGAUGUUUUAGGGUGUCCAUCGGGUUUUGUGGGGGUGGGUUGGGGGUUUUUUUGAAGUGUUUCAGGGAUGAUUCUGGGUGCUAUGGGGCUGGUUUAGAGUGGUCCACUAGAGCAGGUUGCUCCAAGCCCCUGUGUCAACCUGGCCUUGAACACUGCCAGGAAUGGGGCAGCCACAGCUUCUCUGGGCACCCUGUGCCAGUGUCCCACCACCCUCACAGGGAAGAAUUCCUUCCUAAUGUCUGAACUAAAUCUGCCCUCUUUCAGCUUAAAACCAUUCCCCGUUGUCCUGUCACUGCACACCAUUGUAAAAAGCCCCUCUCCAGAUUUCUUGUAGGCCCUGUUUAGGUAUGGGCUUAGUAAGGUCUCCCUGGAGCCUUCUCUUCUCCAGGCUGAACACCCCCAGCUCUCUCAGCCUGUCUUAAUUGGAGACGUGCUCCAGCACUUGGAGAAUCUUUAUGGCCCUUCAUAAGCCCAUCAUUGUAAGAUCAUAAGAGAACAGAGGUUGGAAGAGACCCCAGGAGGUUCAAGUCCAACCUGUCAGAAACAGGGUCAGAGCAAGUGGUUCAAGGCUUGAUUCAGUCCCACUUGGAAAACCCCAAGGCCAGAGACUGCACAGCCUCUCCGGGUGACCUGAUGCAGCACUUGCCUCAGCCUAUGGGAACAAGGUUUCCAUAUGUCCUGGCUGAACCUCUCCUCUGUCACUAUCCCCCAUUGCCUUUUGUCCUCCCCCCAGGCACCAUGGUGAGGAGCCUGGCUCUGGAUUCUCCAUGGCCUCCUUGCCCGUACAAGCAGCCAGUCCCCAAUAGCCUUCCCUUCCCAAGAUCUCAGGUCC
RNAcentral lists this long non-coding RNA (1328 nucleotides) under Strigops habroptila (Kakapo). Its description in RNAcentral is "lncRNA (ENSSHBG00005007315.1)". Lineage: Eukaryota; Metazoa; Chordata; Aves; Psittaciformes; Psittacidae. The record is from RNAcentral.